GUGCCAGCCGCCGCGGUAAUACGGAGGGUGCGAGCGUUAAUCGGAAUUACUGGGCGUAAAGCGCGCGCAGGCGGUUUCUUAAGUCUGAUGUGAAAGCCCCCGGCUCAACCGGGGAGGGUCAUUGGAAACUGGGGAACUUGAGUGCAGAAGAGGAGAGUGGAAUUCCACGUGUAGCGGUGAAAUGCGUAGAGAUGUGGAGGAACACCAGUGGCGAAGGCGACUCUCUGGUCUGUAACUGACGCUGAGGCGCGAAAGCGUGGGGAGCGAACAGGAUUAGAUACCCUGGUAGUCCACGCCGUAAACGAUGAGUGCUAAGUGUUAGAGGGUUUCCGCCCUUUAGUGCUGCAGCAAACGCAUUAAGCACUCCGCCUGGGGAGUACGGUCGCAAGACUGAAACUCAAAUGAAUUGACGGGG
Molecule: ribosomal RNA, 415 nt
Filed under: uncultured prokaryote
Description: bacterial SSU rRNA
Rfam family: Bacterial small subunit ribosomal RNA
Source: RNAcentral